This 498-nucleotide ribosomal RNA is filed under the name uncultured bacterium. RNAcentral describes it as "partial 16S ribosomal RNA". It matches the Rfam family "Bacterial small subunit ribosomal RNA", at positions 30 to 523 of the family's 1533-position model. The record is from RNAcentral.
AUUGAACGCUGGCGGCAUGCCUUACACAUGCAAGUCGAACGGUAACAGGUCUUCGGAUGCUGACGAGUGGCGAACGGGUGAGUAAUACAUCGGAACGUGCCUAGCAGUGGGGGAUAACUACUCGAAAGAGUGGCUAAUACCGCAUGAGAUCUACGGAUGAAAGCAGGGGAUCGCAAGACCUUGUGCUACUAGAGCGGCCGAUGGCAGAUUAGGUAGUUGGUGGGAUAAAAGCUUACCAAGCCGACGAUCUGUAGCUGGUCUGAGAGGACGAUCAGCCACACUGGGACUGAGACACGGCCCAGACUCCUACGGGAGGCAGCAGUGGGGAAUUUUGGACAAUGGGCGAAAGCCUGAUCCAGCAAUGCCGCGUGCAGGAUGAAGGCCUUCGGGUUGUAAACUGCUUUUGUACGGAACGAAAAGCCCCGGGUUAAUACCUUGGGGUCAUGACGGUACCGUAAGAAUAAGCACCGGCUAACUACGUGCCAGCAGCCGCCGUAA